AUCGAGCGGAUUUCGGCAGAGUAUCGCCGGAAUUAGCGGUAAACGGGUGAAUAAUGCACAGGAAGCAACCCUCAAGAGGGGGAUAACACCGGGAAACUGGUGCUAAUACCCCAUAAGACCACAGUCAUUUCGGUGACAGGGGUUAAAGGUCUAACGCAAGUUAGAAUACUUGAGGACGCGCCUGUGUCCUAUCAGCUUGUUGGCGAGGUAAAGGCUCACCAAGGCUAUGACGGGUAGCCGGUCUAAAAGGAUGUCCGGCCACAGUGGAACUGAGACACGGUCCACACUCCUACGGGAGGCAGCAGUGGGGAAUAUUGCACAAUGGGCGAAAGCCUGAUGCAGCGACGCCGCGUGAAGGAUGACAGUCUUCGGAUUGUAAACUUCUUUUACAGGGGACAAAACCCGCAAGGGAUGAUGGUACUCUGUGAAUAAGCACCGGCCAACUACGUGCCAGCAGCCGCGGUAAUAUGUAGGGUGCAAGCGUUGUUCGGAAUUACUAGGUGUAAAGCGCCUGUAGGUGUUUCGAUAAGUUUCGUGUGAAAUCUUCCCGCUUAACGGGAAAACUGCGCGAAAUACUGUCGGAAUUGAGUGCGAGAGAGGAAACUGGAAUUCCCGGUGUAGCAGUGAAAUGCGUAGAUAUCGGGAGGAACACCAAUGGCGAAGGCAGGUUUCUGGCUCGUUACUGACACUGAGAGACGAAAGCGUGGGGAGCAAACAGGAUUAGAUACCCUGGUAGUCCACGCCGUAAACGAUGUUCACUAGUCGUGGGAGGUAUCGACCCCUUCUGCGAUGACGCUAACGCAUUAAGUGAACCACCUGGGGAGUACGGCCGCAAGGCUAAACUCAAAGGAAUUGACGGGGACCCGCACAAGCGGUGGAACAUGUGGUUUAUUCGACGCACGCGAGGAACCUUACCUGGUUUGACAUACUGGUGGUAGAAGCCGGAACGCGACGACCGCAGGGACCAAACAGUGCUGCAUGGCUGUCGUCAGUUCGUGUCGUGAGAUGUAUGGUUAGUCUACACGACGCACCUCGUCUAUGUGCUAAGUC
RNAcentral lists this ribosomal RNA (1050 nucleotides) under uncultured bacterium. RNAcentral describes it as "bacterial SSU rRNA". It matches the Rfam family "Bacterial small subunit ribosomal RNA", at positions 61 to 1120 of the family's 1533-position model. The record is from RNAcentral.